CUGAAAUGCUCCGAUCGGAUGUACGAGUUCUCUCCGGUGGUGUUUACAGCUGUGGGUGAAACGCGAAAACAGCUCUGGGCUAACCUUACCGUAUGCAAUUGUAGAUUAAGUACAGCACGCCAUAAUCGGUGCACACGCUCCUGCACCGGUAAUCACCUGCAUCUAGACCAACGAUCACACAGUGCACCUCAACAGCUUCGCAGCAGUGGCUCUUUCCCUUCCCUGGAUCUCCAUUCACCAGUGUACAGAAUAAUGCAAACACCAUUUGAAAGAGGACUUUGGGACACCUAAGUCAUUUGGGAUUGCAGGCACCAAAAGAGACAGUGUUCAAGGCAAUAUGAGUGACUUAACAGAGUUUGAAAGAUGCCAAAUAGUUGCUGCGCGACUAUCAGGUGCAUCUGUCACAAAAACGGCACAGCUGUUUAAUGUAGCCAGAGGAACAGUCUCCAGGGUCAUGACGGUAUACGUGAAACAUGGACGGACAGCAUCAGCAAAGAAAAACAGCGGGCGCAAGUCAAAGCUCACCGAAAAGGACAGACAGACACUUCUCAGGAUAGUUGAUGAACACCCUGAGUUUACAGCCUUAAAAAUAACCACAGAAUUGAAUGGACACCUAUCUCAUGCCGUCUCAGUAAAAACUAUUCGGCGCGAGCUUCACAAAGCCGGUAUUUUUAGGGGAGCAGCCACUCGGAAAGCAGAGACCAAGGCUGACGCACACAAGCUAGAUGGAAAGAACACUAAACCUGAACCUGGCAAAGAGUGUGACACACAAAAGCCUGUUGAAGAGAGCACAAGACCUGAGAUGAAAACAAAUGGCACACAAAAACCUACCGAAGACAAAACAAUAUCUGGACCCCAGGCCAAUGUCGAAGAAUACAACACAGAAACAUCGGAAGAGAGGAUACAACCUAAACCUAAAGUCAGUGUAGAAGAGUACAGCACACACAAGCCUGGUGAAGAGAGCACAGGACCUGGAUCCCAGACAAGUGAAAAGGACUAACGUCGUCUGAUGUGUUGUAUUUCAGCCUUCCAACAUCCACAUUGCUCAUAUUAAGGGAAAACAACAGAAUGUCACUAACUGCCCAUGGAUCUGUAAUAAUGUUUCAGUUUUUAGAUUUUAUUAUUUAUUUUGCAUGAAUGCAUCGUGGUGCAAUAUUCAGGCUUUUCCCAAGAUUCUUCAUUUUUCCUGAUUUACAAGCAAACAAAACGUCAAUGUAGACUGUUGAGAAUUGGCCUAAAAAAUUUCCAUACUGGGGAUGUUUAUUAUAUUGUUCAAAAAAAUAAAAACUCUAUACGGAUAAUGACUGGUUUGUUCCUAACAUGUAGACCAAUGCCAUGCAGAGAUAAUAUCUGCUGUUUCCAUCGUAUCUGAUAGUGUUGUACUGUAAAGCCUUUUUGAUAAGGUGUGAAACCAAGCAGCAACUUCAAUCCUGUAAAAUAUAGUUCCUCUACUGUCUCAAAAAGUCAUACUUUAUUGAAGUCACUGUCAAACUCCCCAGUUUUAUUUGUUAAAUAUGAAGUUAUUUUUUUUAUUCCACAAGAUGUUCGGUUCUCAGGAGUUGAUGUGUGUGUCUUCUGACAUGUCUUGGUUGUGAUUUUGGUGUUUAGACAGGUUUUUCAGGCUAUCCUGCUUAACUGCAGUGGUUGCUUUUUGCUCAUCCCAUCUCAGCUUCACUUUGGCUCUACCUAAACUUAAAAGCCAAACUUUCAAUAUGUCCCUCAAGCAACCUAUGGGAUGGUGCAGAUAAAACACUUUCUUCUACUUUUAUAAAAUGUUAAAUUAUACAAGAAAGUGACACGUUCGGGACAUUAACCAGUAUUAUUUAAUUUUUGUUGCAAAUGUAUGGAGUGAUCAUUGAUGACCCCACCAUAAGGUAUUAAAUCUGAAUCAUCACAUCCCUA
This is a long non-coding RNA of Micropterus salmoides (largemouth bass), 1902 nucleotides long. RefSeq lists it as uncharacterized. The record is from RefSeq and is a predicted model, not a curated record. Lineage: Eukaryota; Metazoa; Chordata; Actinopteri; Centrarchiformes; Centrarchidae. The transcript has 3 exons.